Non-coding RNA from Pelobates cultripes (western spadefoot toad), 216 nucleotides. The record is from the annotation of a GenBank genome assembly. Lineage: Eukaryota; Metazoa; Chordata; Amphibia; Anura; Pelobatidae.
ACAAAGUGAGCAUUCAAAGAGAAUUUUACUUUUAAGGCCAGAGUAGCAGACGUAGUGACACAACGUAUCUACUCGCACACCAAAAUACUGAGGCAAUGUCAUUACACACACACUAUAACCACAUAGCAGCACAAAUAUACAGUGUAACCAUACUCACAUAGUCUAACUACUCACUCACCUGUUCAGAUACAGUGUAACCAAGUUCAGACAUUAGCA